CGGAGGGGGCUAGCGUUGUUCGGAAUUACUGGGCGUAAAGCGCACGUAGGCGGCUUUGUAAGUUGGAGGUGAAAGCCCGGGGCUCAACCCCGGAAUUGCCUUUAAGACUGCAUCGCUAGAAUUGUGGAGAGGUAAGUGGAAUUCCGAGUGUAGAGGUGAAAUUCGUAGAUAUUCGGAAGAACACCAGUGGCGAAGGCGACUUACUGGACACAUAUUGACGCUGAGGUGCGAAAGCGUGGGAGCAAACAGGAUUAGAUACCCUGGUAGUCCACGCCGUAAACGAUGAUGACUAGCUGUCUGGGCGCUUAGCGUUCAGGUGGCGCAGCUAACGCGUUAAGUCAUCCGCCUGGGGAGUACGGCCGCAAGGUUA
This 370-nucleotide ribosomal RNA is filed under the name uncultured organism. Its description in RNAcentral is "bacterial SSU rRNA". It matches the Rfam family "Bacterial small subunit ribosomal RNA", at positions 526 to 896 of the family's 1533-position model. The record is from RNAcentral.